CCUCUCUCAGGGUCACACCUGAAGAGUUUCCAGUACUCUACCAGUCUCAGCUACGGGAGCGAGAGAGAUUCAAGCGGAGGCCUACCCAUUCCAUUCCUAGUUUGGGCAGUGACUAGCAAGUGGAAGACAAUCUGCUACAAGU
Non-coding RNA from Ornithorhynchus anatinus (platypus), 142 nucleotides. The record is from Rfam. Lineage: Eukaryota; Metazoa; Chordata; Mammalia; Monotremata; Ornithorhynchidae.